This is a non-coding RNA of Pelobates cultripes (western spadefoot toad), 1341 nucleotides long. The record is from the annotation of a GenBank genome assembly. Lineage: Eukaryota; Metazoa; Chordata; Amphibia; Anura; Pelobatidae.
UGUUGUAAGAAAGUAAUGCUUGUGGCAUCAUAGGAUAUAUUUUUUAUACCCCUAUUGUGCUUUUGUCACUGAAUAUUUUUACUGUAGACUUAUAUUUUAUGUAUCCCCAAGCAACAAUUCAUACACAAACUUGCUGUUAUGUUCUAAAUUCAUACACUAGUUAGGAAUUCUGUUUUUAAAAUAAAUGUUACAGUUUACUUCUCAAGAGAUCUCAACAGCCAGCAUCUGAUUGUGAAGGGAUUAAAAAUCCUAAUCAAAUUCAUAUUUAUAUACAUAAAAAAAUAUUACUGCAAGGCAAUAAAAUAAUUUGCAAGCAGCAGCUCAGCAUUAGCUGGUAGAUAAUUACAGACUGCCUUGAUAUGCACUGAGCAGUUAUGUCACAUGAUUUAAUCUUGAAAUUGUGCAAGCCAGAUUGUCAGCAAAUGUAUAGAUCAAAUGUUGUUGUAACCUGGUGUAUAUCAGCUGCCAUAAAAUGUUCUGGCUUGUCAUGGGAAGCAAUGCAUUUGACCACAUUCAUAUCGUUUGAGUCCACCUUACCUGCAUAGUUGCCAUUUAUAUAUAUUUUAUGGAUGUCAUAGAGAUAAGAGAUAGAACCUAGUCCUGACUUUCUUCUAUAUAUAUUUGCUAUCAAUAUGCACGUUAACUUAAACCUUUUUUAGAAUGACACUCUUGCUCAAGUCUGAUACAUUUACAAAAACAUACAGUAUUAUAGUUAAUGGGUUACUAUAUCCCUUUUCAAACCGUCUUCUUUUUUUAAACUUGGGCAUUCCUAGUUAGGUCUCCUCUUUAAAGAGUAAUACAUUUUUUUUUAAAAACUUACUUGUAAUCCAACGCCAGGUGAAGCUCUCUGAGCUGAUCUCCACUCUUCCCACCUGAUGUCACCAAGGGUCUAGCAUGGUCCUUCAAAGGCUUCUCAUAGAGAAGCCUUUGUUUCGACCACUUCGCUAGCUUAGAACACGUGCGCUCUGAACCAGCAUGGGUAGGGAGGGAGAAAAAAAACAAACUAUGGAGGUAGAAGGGAGCGAGCGAAUAGAAGACGGGUAGGGAAAAGAAAGCUUCCCCUUGCAAGUGCUGUAACUGCAAGUGGCAAGUUAAUUAUGUCUAUUACCAGUGCGCUGUAGCGUGAUGAUGGACAUAUUUUUUGCACAGUAUUGACAUUUGCAAGCGGGAAGUCAUGUGUGCUGUGGUUUUAACAAGUAUGAAACCAUGCAGAACCAGACUCCUACCACCAUGACCACUUCAAAUCACUGAAGUGGUCAGGCGGGCUGGAGUAACCUUUUAAGUGUUUAGUCUUGCAUAUGUUUUAUGAACCAAGAAAUUUCAGGAACCUUUAUACUUAAA